Molecule: ribosomal RNA, 253 nt
Filed under: uncultured bacterium
Lineage: Bacteria
Description: partial 16S ribosomal RNA
Rfam family: Bacterial small subunit ribosomal RNA
Source: RNAcentral
UACGGAGGGUGCAAGCGUUAAUCGGAAUUACUGGGCGUAAAGCGCACGCAGGCGGUUUGUUAAGUCAGAUGUGAAAUCCCCGGGCUGAACCUGGGAAUUGCAUCUGAUACUGGGAAUCUUGAGUCCUGUAGGGGGGGGUAGAAUUCCAGGUGUAGCGGUGAAAUGCGUAGAGAUGUGGAGGAAUACCGGAGGCGAAGGCGGCCCCCUGGACAAAGACUGACGCUCAGGUGCGAAAGCGUGGGGAGCAAACAGG